AUGAAAAUUAUUGGCUGGAACUGCCGGGGGCUCGGGAAUGGCCCGGCAGUUCGUAGCCUCCUCGAGUUGGGGAGGAUGGAGGAGCCCGAUGUGUUGUUUUUGGCGGAGACAAAGAUGUCGGAUAAGGAGUUGGAGAGGUUUCGGUGGACGUUGGGCCUGUCACAUAUGGCAGCCUGGAGUGCAGAAGGAAGGAGUAGAGGUGUGGCUCUGUUCUGGAGGCGAGAGGUGGAUGUAACACUACGAUCCUUUGGUAGGAGACACGUGGAUGUGGAC
RNAcentral lists this ribosomal RNA (273 nucleotides) under Triticum aestivum (bread wheat). RNAcentral describes it as "partial small subunit ribosomal RNA". The record is from RNAcentral. Lineage: Eukaryota; Viridiplantae; Streptophyta; Magnoliopsida; Poales; Poaceae.